GUAAUCUUGUGAAACUCUGUCGUGCUGGGGAUAGAGCAUUGCAAUUAUUGCUCUUCAACGAGGGAAUCCCUAGUAAGCGCAAGUCAUCAGCUUGCGUUGAUUACGUCACCUGCCCUUUGUACACGACCGCCCGUCGCUACUACCGAUUGAAUGGUUCAGUGAGGCUUUCGGACUGGCCCAGGGAGGUCGGCAACGACCACCCAGGGCCGGAAAGUUAUCCAAACUCGAUCAUUUAGAGGGAGUAAAAGUCGUAACAAGGUCUCCGUUGGUGAACCAGCGGAGGGAUCAUU
RNAcentral lists this ribosomal RNA (290 nucleotides) under Diaporthe sp. CLF-J. RNAcentral's name for it is "partial 18S rRNA". It matches the Rfam family "Eukaryotic small subunit ribosomal RNA", at positions 1546 to 1830 of the family's 1831-position model. The record is from RNAcentral. Lineage: Eukaryota; Fungi; Ascomycota; Sordariomycetes; Diaporthales; Diaporthaceae.